AUGUGACUCUGAUGCUUUAGGCAUGUGUUUUCUUGUCUCGUGGUGACUCUGGUCUCCUGAUGACAGGAGCAGACACACUGACAACAGUACGGGGUCACGUGCCCCCUACUUAUUUUCAUUUUUUCUUAAGUAGCAUAAAUUAAUUUGAUUAAUUGUUAGUUUACUGAAGAAAAUUGAAAAUGUGUCCCCAUCAAAAUUUUUUUUUACUGUUUCUACUGUUGUGCCCCCGAUUAGAAACGUUUUUAGAUCCGCUCAUGCCUGAUGAUUAUUCUUUCUCUGACCUUUUUUUAUUUUUUGAGUUGGUGCUUGACCACGCUCCUUUGAGCUCGGGAGAAUGCUUUGUCGUAUAUUUUACUCCCCUGGUUCCAAAACAGUAAAAU
Molecule: long non-coding RNA, 380 nt
Filed under: Brassica napus (rape)
Lineage: Eukaryota; Viridiplantae; Streptophyta; Magnoliopsida; Brassicales; Brassicaceae
Description: long non-coding RNA (BNAP_LNC005012)
Source: RNAcentral